Long non-coding RNA from Dermacentor andersoni, 2604 nucleotides. RefSeq lists it as uncharacterized. The record is from RefSeq and is a predicted model, not a curated record. Lineage: Eukaryota; Metazoa; Arthropoda; Arachnida; Ixodida; Ixodidae.
UACGAUUUUUCUGACGCAUUUUACUUUGAUAAAUUCAAUUAUUUAAGUAACUCCUUUGCAUUACACGGAGGGCCUGCGUGGUUGCGUACGCGUGGUUCCGAAUGACAAUUCCCGAAACGAUGGCCGACAAGGGGUGGCGACGCCGGAUUAUGUGCGACACGGGGCCCUUAACGCUAUUGCGUUCAUAUAUAGCGCCGGUAAGCCUUCCACGUCGCCUCAACACAUUCCGCGACCAAUUUUGAACAUCCGGCACGUCACCGCCAUCACGAUCGAGGUUAGCACCGUGCGGACAGAGAUAGCUAUAAUGCGCGAGAGGCCGUUCCUACAGAUGAAGCCGCGAUAGAAGCUAAAUGGGAGAGGGUCCUUUCUUUACGCCAACAGCGGAAACAAGCGAAGGAGUGCAAGGACGCGCACGUAAGAGAUGUGUACGUCGCCGGGCGCGGGAGGUAAUUAAGCCUAACGUACAACGCGGCCGACCGAGAAGACAGCGGCUGCUGCCUUUAUACCGAGAGGAUCUGAAUACAAUUAUCCGUCCGCACCAGGGUCUACCCCUUCCAAAUGUGAACUGCCAUGAAAUGGCGCUAGCCGUAGAGGACGCCUGCCAAAACAAGGUACGAAGCGACGGUUAUCAAGACGGGUUCAAACAUUUCCGUCAUCUCUACGCCCGACCAGGAGACGGUACGCAGGUUACAGGCGCGGUCAGUUUACUGAGCAUUAAUGGACGACCUCGUACCCCGUCAACGCAUACGUGAAGGCUGGUGACAAUCGAUGUCGCGUGAAGUCAUUGACGGCAUCGAGUCGAAUAUGCCCUCCGCAACGCUCAAAGCUCACCCGAGGCUGCGUACCCAGGGGGUGGAAAUCGUGGACGCCCGAAUGUUGGGAGACUCGCAGAGUGCCUGGAUCAUCUUCGGAGACAUCAUGCCAAGCUAUGUUUAUUUACCAAGUUCUGGUAGGAGCUGCUGCGGGGUGGGACAUUGCACAGACGUGUGCCCACAACGCGACCUAUCGGUGUGCCACGUGUGCUGGGCGCGGGAACCAGCCGACAGACAUGACUGUUCCCCUAAAUGUGCCAUUUACAGUGGAGAGCAUCCGACGGGGGUAUCGGGCAUGCCUCAAACCUCUCAGACCACUUCGAAGACGUCCAUCAAAAAGUGGCCACCAGAGGAGGCCACCACGUUGGUUCGCCACAGAGGACAAGGACUUGGAAUUUGAGAGUUUCCCUAAUUUCCCUAAAGGCGGGCAUCACAGCCAUUCUCAAACCUGGUUGCCGUCAAGGGAGUGAGCCAGGCCGGGCUAGCCUGGCCGGUCUAGCUGGGGCAGAGGGAUCGACAGAGACUACUGUCCGGACCUCGGACACCCUGUCCACAACAGAAGCAACAAGGUUGUAAACAGAAGGGGUGGAAUCUGGCCACAUCCCCUGGGGCUCUGCUGCAAAGAGCCAACCGCAACAAAAUCAGAUGUGUCCCUCAAAAUAUACAAGAGACUGCAGAUUGUUCAAUAACACCACGCACCCUCUACCAAGAUUAUCUGGGAAUGCAACAAGAGCCCACAGACAACGCCCAUCCAAACAGCAGCAGAAGACCAGUCGCAGGGCCGGUGACAAGCCCAAGUCCUGAGGACCAGGUAUGGCUGACAAACAGCGCUAGCCUGUCAGCACAGAGUCACAGCUAUCUGGAAUAGGGUAGCCACCCACCUUUUGGCACCAAGAGCUUGGUCUCUCAAGUAAACUUCAUUCACUCACUCACUCUGCCUUAAAGUGAUCCUCAGCAUGAUUAAGAGUGGCAUUCUCAACGCACAAGAUUAUGAAGACCCGCUCCAGUCCAUUUCUCUCAAUGUCUGCAGAGUACUGGAGCAGUGCAUCCAAUGCGAAAGACAUCCUUCAGAAAUUUUCAGGCGAGGCGGCUCUUCACUCGGCAGCAAAAGCCCCGAGUGUUAUAUAUCCAAUGUCCACUUUGUUAUGAGGGAGUUAAGUUACAUGAGUAUUGGUCAGUGAGCAUCACAUGUACGAUUAAAGAAUAAUUCAUUCUAUCGGGGUUUGUCUGUCGUCAUUUUUUGUAUAAAGAAAAUUGACGUUUUGAUUUAUUGGCAGGUGAACUGGUCUAAUCUUGAUGUCCAGGGUUUUAAGUUGGGUUGCCCUCCCUCUGGGUCGACAAAUUGGCAAAAAGUUUUGUUCAUUAUGCCCACUAUUAAUUAUAAAAGCACAUGCAAAAUUCGGCUCUGGCAGUUUUUUCUGCCUACAGUGCUGCAGGUAGCUGCGAUUAUACAAUAAAGGGUCACCCCUUUUCUAGAGAUAAGCUCUGUUUGCUGUUCGUGCAAGGCCCAAGCACCAACAGACAUGCACUUUGUUGCAUGUCAGGUGACUGAACUGUGUGAAAUACUACAGUUAUGAGUCACUUUUGCAAAUAUAUAUUUAGCCUUCAUGCAGCCAGCUUACACAGGGAUUACUAUCUAGAAGCAUAAUGUGCUUUGUUGAAACCAGUACUGUGUUGAGCCCUUUGUUUUCAAUUAAGUUGCAGUGAUAAAACACUUGCUGAUGUGGAAUGUGGCCAGCAAGAUCUUUAUAUAUAUUUCAGUAUUCUCAAUAAAUUGUUAUAUCAAUGUUCA